GAGAAAAAUGGUUAUGUCUUUAAGCUGCUAACUUAAAAUUCUAGCGGUUAAACUCCGUUAUUUUCUUU
This 68-nucleotide transfer RNA is filed under the name Cryptopygus terranovus. RNAcentral describes it as "tRNA-Ser". Lineage: Eukaryota; Metazoa; Arthropoda; Collembola; Entomobryomorpha; Isotomidae. The record is from RNAcentral.